UACGAAGGGGGCUAGCGUUGUUCGGAAUUACUGGGCGUAAAGGGCUCGUAGGCGGCCAACUAAGUCAGGCGUGAAAUCCCUCGGCUUAACCGGGGAACUGCAUCUGAUACUGGAUGGCUUGAGUUCGGGAGAGGGAUGCGGAAUUCCAGGUGUAGCGGUGAAAUGCGUAGAUAUCUGGAGGAACACCGGUGGCGAAGGCGGCAUCCUGGACCGACACUGACGCUGAGGAGCGAAAGCCAGGGGAGCAAACGGG
RNAcentral lists this ribosomal RNA (253 nucleotides) under uncultured bacterium. Its description in RNAcentral is "partial 16S ribosomal RNA". It matches the Rfam family "Bacterial small subunit ribosomal RNA", at positions 524 to 776 of the family's 1533-position model. The record is from RNAcentral.